This 7217-nucleotide long non-coding RNA is filed under the name Daucus carota (carrot). RNAcentral describes it as "long non-coding RNA (DCAR_LNC001864)". The record is from RNAcentral. Lineage: Eukaryota; Viridiplantae; Streptophyta; Magnoliopsida; Apiales; Apiaceae.
GAAUGGAACGAGACGUUGAUCGAGGCAUUGAUCGAGAAGUGAUUAAAAUGGUUAUUCAGAAAUAGCUAAGUUGUGUUGCAAGUGGAAGUUAGGCAGAGAUUGCUAUAGAUAAAAUCUUGUCAGAAGCUGGCAGAAAGGAAUGAUAUGGCACUACAUAGUGUUAUUAGAAAUCUGAGAUAGACACCGGAGUUAAGGCAAGUAUAUAUCCAACCUACUUUCUCUUUAAAAGAUUUUGCUCCUGCAAUGCUUUGUUAUGCUUUGAAUAUUGCAAAACUCCUUAUAGAAUUAGACUUCUACUAAUUAACUAGUAUUCUGGAAUUACCCAAGUAUGAAAUGGAAUACCCUUUGUCACUUAUAUCAUGCAAAUGUAUCAGCUUAAUUAUCAUCCUUAUCUUCUUCAACUGCCAGAUACUUAAUAUUGAGCUUAUAACUUUGUUUUCUUACCUCCCUCUCAACUACAACAAAUUGUGUUCUUGCUUAUAAACUAGUUCACUUGUUUGUUUCUGACUCAUAAAUCAAACCCUAUUUCUUGAAAGACCUUAGUUAUCAUCAUACAACCUACCCUGCCAUUAUUAUAAAAUACAUUGAUACACUUGAUUCAGUAACCUGUACCCUUGAUAAAGAAUACUUAAUUAGUAGAAAUCUAAUGCUAAGGUGUUGAAAUGAAUAUUUGGUUGAGAAUCAUUGUUGCUUACAGAUUUUGAACCUUGGUUUAAAAUGAAAAAAUGAAUUGAUUUAUCUGUUUUAGAAAGGGAAUUGGAUGAAAAUGUUUUAUGACCGAGGCGCCGGUCCCAAUUGAAUUAUUAAAGGCCAAAGUGUGCCUAGGAUCCUUUAUAUUUGAGAACUCGUAUUGAAUAUGCGGGUUCGGAGCUAUGUCGUGGGCUGAUCACCCAGCUUAGCUCGUAGCGUCUUAUCUGGUUCCAAUUCCAUAAAGAAGAAACUGUUUUGUUUAAAUCAUAUUGUGUUGGUAUCAUUAUCUUUAUAUCAUUGUUGGUUUGGAUAUUAUAUACUUGCUGAGCAUUCUUUUGCUCAUUCUUGCUAUUUCUUCUAACCCCUUUCAGAUAAUGUUAAAGAUGGUUCGCCUAUUUAGGCUAAGCAUAAGAGUAAGGCUAGGCGAGGAUUGCAAGUGACUAAGUUUCAACCUGAUGGUCAGGAAGAGUAUCCAAGAUCGAGUCUUUGGGACUAGUGGUAAUUAGAGUUGUCUGAAUUUGAUUUAGUUGUAAAAGCAUGUAAUAAGAUUUAUUAGUUUUACUUUUCUGAUUUCAAUAAUAUAGCCUGUUUGCGAUCCUGUUUUAAAGGGGGUUAAACUUUGUUCUUUUAAAUCUUUUAAUAAAGCUUUUAGGUUUUAAAUUCUUUGAUUUUUAUUAGCUUUUCAACAAUACAUGUUUUGAAAGGGCAAAUCAUUUUUUUUUAUAUCCAGGUUUGAAAUACUUGUUUUUACUUCCUUUAAAAAAAAAUACAGGUUUUCAAUGGUUUUUCUUUUAGUGGCGCCAAAUCUAGACCCCCGGAUUUGAGGGCUGUCACAGUUGGUAUCAGAGCUACAGGUUAUAAGUUAUUGAAAUCAGAGUGUAGGUCAUAAUAAUAGGUUUAAUGAAAAAGAUCACGUAGUGUAACCUCACAUAGAGGUAUCGUAAGACUAUUUGGGGAUAGUAUUUCUGUGCAGAAAAAAAAAAUGAAGCUAGACGAUUAACUUGAGUGUAUAUGUUUAGAAAGUUUAUGAUUUCUAAGUCUAGACACUAGGAUUAUAGUGUUGAUUAACCGAGAAUGGUAUUGUUGUGAGAAAGGUCAAGAUUAGACCUAGUUAAAAGAGUUGAUGGUAAAUGAUUGAGCUGAAAUUUGUAAAGAUGCAUGGCUCAGAGCAAUCUAACCAUGUUGGAUAUUUGAAAGUGGUUUAUUGAUUUGAUUGAGAUAUGAAGAGUGAGUGUGAAAUAUGAGUUAUGUUGGAUUAGAAGGAAAGUUGUGCAGAUAGAGGUAGAUAGAUGAGGAGUGGGGGAUAGAGAGUAUGUGGAAUUGAGUCCAGUUAUGAGAGACGAUUAAUGCGAGUAAGUUAGACAUCGAUGACGACGCUUCAAGAUGAUCGAGACUUUUAAUGACAUCAAGGUGGGCCUAUAACCCACAGAUCGACGAGUCAGAAAAUAGAAGAUAUGCUACAUGUUGUGCUAUGGACUUCAAAGGCGACUGGGAUGAAGUCGGAAAUAUAAACUACUUGGGCCAGACUUAUUAGAAACGAUAACGUCUACGAUGACAUUUUACGAGACUAUUACGAGUCAACAUCGAUUGAUUAUCGAGAACAUUGAAAAGAAGACAUACGUCGAACAACAAUUUAUUGAAGCAGCGCGAAAAUUUGAGAAGACCUUGGCAAUACCUCUCUUCAACUAAAGAUUCUUUUGAUUGUUUUCUCAUCAGUGAGAUAUCAUCAUGAUUUUUUUUUUUUUUUUUUUUUACAAAAGUUUCGAUAAAUGAGAUCUUCAAUUUCUCAAAUUCUAAGAUGACAUUAAUAUUGACUAUUGGUAUGAGUUGGAAGGCAAAGAUAUGUGAUAAAGGUUUGUUGUGAUGAGACAGUGAAAUAUUUCUUGACAUUCCUUGAUAUUCUUUCAUCUUCCUUGAUAUCUCUUGGUGUUCUUUGACAUUUGAUAUUCUUUGACAUUCUUUGAUAUUUCUUGAUAUUCUUUCCAUUUGAUUGGGAUGAACAACCCUAUUUAUAGGGGACACAAGGUAUGCCUGUCUGUGUGAUAGGAGUUGGAUGGGACGCCAUCACUUGUGUGUGUUGUACAUUACAAGAAGGUUAACUACCUUUUUAGUGUCUAAUAUGGACACGCAACAUUAAGUUCAUUUGAUCGUAUUGAUAUCCCAGUCACUCUUGUAUUCCAAUGUGACCUAUUGUGAAAACAUCUUGUUCCUCCAAAAUUCCCAAAGAUUGAUUCUUGGGAAAUGAAUUUUGCAAUUGUGAAAGUUUGAUUCUCCUAUUUCCUUACAGUCAAAGGUAUACCAAGAUCGAUCAUAGGUGUGUGAUGAUACGUUAUGACGAAACGUAUAGUGGAAUCUCAUAAGUGAUACGUUUGAGUUCUCUUUGUGGAUUCCGAGGGCUAUUUAUAGGGGACACAAGGUAUACCUGUCUGUGUGAUAGGAGUUGGAUGGGACGCCAUCACUUGUGUGUGUUGUGAUUACAAGAAGGUUAACAACCUUUAGUAGUGUCUAAUAUGGACACGCAACAUUAAGUUCAUUUGAUCGUAUUGAUAUCCCAGUCACUCUUGUAUUCCAAUGUGACCUAUUGUGAAAACAUCUUGUUCCUCCAAAAUUCCCAAAGAUUGAUUCUUGGGAAAUGAAUUUUGCAAUUGUGAAAGUUUGAUUCUCCUAUUUCCUUACAGUCAAAGGUAUACCAAGAUCGAUCAUAGGUGUGUGAUGAUACGUUAUGACGAAACGUAUAGUGGAAUCUCAUAAGUGAUACGUUUGAGUUCUCUUUGUGGAUUCCGAGGGCGGAAUCCUUUUAAGGGGGGUAGAAUGUAAUACCCCAGAAUUUUUUAUUAUUGUUUAGUUUGUGAUUAUUAUAAAUCUAAUUUGUUCAGAUAUUAUCGUUAUCUUUAAUUGAAAAGUGGAUUGAUUAUGUGAAUAGUUCUAUGUGAUUAUACUUGUUCGGAAACAAUUUUUAGCUUCAUUAUCGACUAGAUUGAAGUUGGAAAGAACUUGUAGCUCUAUUCCGGACUCGUUUGAAGUUGAAAACAACUUGUUGAGAUUUAUUUAACAUUCUUAUAAUCAUAUGACCACAAUCACGUGAUAUUUGCUUCGAUAUAGGAAAUCAGUCAUACUUUUAAAUCUUCAAGAUUCUUGUUAUCUCUGAGACUUUGGAGGUAUGCCAACCAAGUUGCCAACAUGAAUUAAGACUUUGUAGUAGAAGGCACCAGGAUGAAAGCGGAUGACAAUGCUGGUAUACGGAAGCGAUCAAGAAAAAUUUUAUAUCAUAUUAAUAUGUGUAUUACUUGUUCUACGAUUUAAUCGUAUUAUCUGGAUGUGAUUUAUGCUUGUGUGCAUAUUUGUUCUGGAUGUGAUUUAUGCUUGUGUGCAUAUUUGUUACAAAUUGCUUUGUUAUUUAUAAAUAUUUAUGAUUUUCUUUAAAAUGGAUUAUAGUAAAAUGAAUUUCUAAAUAUACAAAAAUGAUUUGUAAAAUUCUUUUAAUUACUUGAAAAUGAUAAUGAAUAUAUUAGGAGUUUUUAAAAAUAUUAAAAAAAUAUUAUUUUGUAAAAUUUUGAUUUUUAAAUAUUUUCUAGAACGCAAUUAAUUUCUAAAUUGUGUAUAAAUUUCAUAUGUACUCGAUAAAUCUCAAAACUUUUAUUAUAUUAGUUUUACAAUAUUUUGAUAUUUAUAAAAAUAUUUUGGUGAAUUUCGGGAAUAUUUUAUUACAAGUGAUAUCUGUAAAUAAGCUAGUUGCGGGUAUUAGCUUAGUGAUUAUUCUACAAAAUAAGACACGUAGCCGCACCAAAGUGUGCCACGUGCCCUCAAUAUUCCACCGCCUCUUCUUUUCUUGGCUCCCCCGUCUCUUUUCCUUCUUUUAAUCUGCAUAAUUCUCAGUCUCUCUCCCUCUCCCAAAUCACUCUCAAUCUCACCUCUUCCCUCAAUCAAUCUCUCUCGUGUAAUUGCUCUUUCUUCCUCCUGCCGUUGCUAUAACCGCCGGGUCUUUGCCGCCGCUUUCUCUUCCGGCCAGAACCACCACCGUGGCACCGCCUGUAUCUUCCUCCUUCCGGCAACCACCAUAGCCCUGCACCAGUUAUAAAUCAGUGGGUAUAAAGAUUAAUUUAUCUUUGUCAAAUCAGUUCUAUAUAAACGUAUAUAUAUGUGGUGUUGUGUUUAUAUGGAUUAAAUUGAUUUAUAUAAUCGAUUUAUGUGUGCUUGUAUGUAUACAAACUGAUUAUAUGCUUGAAAUUGAAGGUUGAUUUCAUUUUUGAGAUUGAGAUUGGUGUUAGUAAUUGUAUGAUUGAAUUGUGUCCUUAAUUGAUAUUUGAAUUGGUUGUUGUAGGUUGAUUAUAAAUAGUGCGCCAACUAGUAGUUUAAUCGGAUGACUUGGGUACUUGAAUUGUGGGAAUAUAUAACUGAGUAUUCAAGCUUUAAGGUCUGAGAUUUGUGUAAAUGUUUUCAGAAUGGUGUUUUAAGAGUUUAAGCAUUGGGUUAAAAAUUUAGAUUUACACAUAAUCGGUUGAAUUGUAGGUUGCUGCUGAUCUGUUUUGCCGUACAAUUCUGGGCUCAUAGAUUUGAAUUAUAUGCUUAAUCUUUGUGUGGUUAUGUGCUCCUCAGAGUCUAGUUUAUGUGCGCGAAAGAAUCGAAUCGAUUCGAUUAGCGAGCUAGGAGAUAUGACCGUUUUAGUAUGGUAUGCGCAGAAAAUACUGGACAGGGUCUGUUAUACUGAUUGCAGACUCUGUUUGGAGGUCUUAUACUUGGUGUUUAAUUCUGAAAUCUUUACUGGAGUUAGAUGUUAGUGUCUGGAAUAUGUCAUUAAAAUUUUAUACAAACAGACCAAUUUUCCUAUUUAUUAAAAUUCUUAGCGUGGGGCUGGUUCUGCAGGACAGACUCAGGUUCUUGACUUGCAGGCCCUGUUUUACUCCCUUAAACAUGGAAUUUUCUUCUGAAAUUUUUAUAGUAGAUUGGAAUAAUGUUUAGGAGUGUCUCAUAGAAAUUUUGUAUUAAAGAGAUAAAUUUUCAAUUUAUUAAAAAUCAUAGAGUGAGGGCUGUUUGAACUAUUUGUUCUCGUCUUCUUUCUUUGAUUAGUGCAUAGGAGGAGGUUAUACUUGGUUGGUCAGUGUUAAUCAUGUUUAAUAGUGAUAUAUGAUUUCAAAUCUAGCUAUGCAAGUGUGCAUACUGUGAUAUUGUGUUUUAAUUGAUAUUGGUCCAGUACUUAUUUGUUUAUUGAGUUGGAUUGAGUUGGUUACUUGUUGAAUAAUAUAAGAAAACAGGUGGAUAGUCCGAUAAAUAGAGGAAGUGCUGUCGAAUUUUCGUUAGAAACUAUAUAUGUUUUACUUGUUGAAGGAUAUUAAAUAGAUAAGAAUAAGGUGACAUGGUUAACUGAAACAUGUUAAAUGUUAACUUAUCAAUAUUGACUUUUUAAUGGCUAUAAAAGUUAAUUGUUCAACUAUGUGCUAUGUGUUUGUCUGACUAUGUGGCAUGUAUAUGCGAAGGGUAGAUAUAAAAUAGGUCUUAAUGCUUUUCGAGCUUAGUUAAUCCGUCUGAUCCGACGACUAAAAUAAUAUUUUGCCAUCGUAUAGAAUGGAACGAGACGUUGAUCGAGGCAUUGAUCGAGAAGUGAUUAAAAUGGUUAUUCAGAAAUAGCUAAGUUGUGUUGCAAGUGGAAGUUAGGCAGAGAUUGCUAUAGAUAGAGUCUUGUCAGAAGCUGGCAGAAAGGAAUGAUAUGGCACUACAUAGUGUUAUUAGAAAUCUGAGCUAGACACCGGAGUUAAGGCAAGUAUAUAUCCAACCUACUUUCUCUUUAAAAGAUUUUGCUCCUGCAAUGCUUUGUUAUGCUUUGAAUAUUGCAAAACUCCUUAUAGAAUUAGACUUCUACUAAUUAACUAGUAUUCUGGAAUUACCCAAGUAUGAAAUGGAAUACCCUUUGUCACUUAUAUCUUGCAAAUGUAUCAGCUUAAUUAUCAUCCUUAUCUUCUUCAACUGCCAGAUACUUAAUAUUGAGCUUAUAACUUUGUUUUCUUACCUCCCUCUCAACUACAACAAAUUGUGUUCUUGCUUAUAAACUAGUUCACUUAUUUGUUUCUGACUCAUAAAUGAAACCCUAUUUCUUGAAAGACCUUAGUUAUCAUCAUACAACCUACCCUGCCAUUAUUAUAAAAUACAUUGAUACACUUGAUUCAGUAACCUGUACCCUUGAUAAAGAAUACUUAAUUAGUAGAAAUCUAAUGCUAAGGUGUUGAAAUGAAUAUUUGGUUGAGAAUCAUUGUUGCUUACAGAUUUUGAACCUUGGUUUAAAAUGAAAAAAUGAAUUGAUUUAUCUGUUUUAGAAAGGGAAUUGGAUGAAAAUGUUUUAUGACCGAGGCGCCGGUCCCAAUUGAAUUAUUAAAGGCCAAAGUGUGCCUAGGAUCCUUUAUAUUUGAGAACUCGUAUUGAAUAUGCGGGUUCGGAGCUAUGUCGUGGGCUGAUCACCCAGCUUAGCUCGUAGCGUCUUAUCUGGUUCCAAUUCCAUAAAGGAGAAACUGUUUUGUUUAAAUCAUAUUGUGUUG